This 443-nucleotide ribosomal RNA is filed under the name uncultured bacterium. RNAcentral describes it as "partial 16S ribosomal RNA". It matches the Rfam family "Bacterial small subunit ribosomal RNA", at positions 338 to 795 of the family's 1533-position model. The record is from RNAcentral.
CCUACGGGAGGCAGCAGUGGGGAAUAUUGGGCAAUGGGCGCAAGCCUGACCCAGCAACGCCGCGUGAAGGAAGAAGGCUUUCGGGUUGUAAACUUCUUUUCUCAGGGACGUAGAAAGUGACGGUACCUGAGGAAUAAGCCACGGCUAACUACGUGCCAGCAGCCGCGGUAAUACGUAGGUGGCAAGCGUUAUCCGGAUUUAAUGGGCGUAAAGGGUGUGUAGGCGGAUAUGUAGGAUAGCGGUGAAAUGCCGGGGCUCAACCCCGGAACUGCCAUUAUGACUAUGUGUCUUGAGUAAUGGAGAGGAAAGCGGAAUGCCCGGUGUAGAGGUGAAAUUCGUAGAUAUUAGGUAGAACACCGGUGGCGAAGGCGGCUAUCUGGCCAGUAACUGACGCUGAGGCUCGAAAGCAUGGGGAUCAAACAGGAUUAGAUACCCGAGUAGUC